Long non-coding RNA from Gadus macrocephalus (Pacific cod), 534 nucleotides. RefSeq lists it as uncharacterized. The record is from RefSeq and is a predicted model, not a curated record. Lineage: Eukaryota; Metazoa; Chordata; Actinopteri; Gadiformes; Gadidae. The transcript has 3 exons.
AUGACACCACCAUGGAAAUGGAAGUGGGUGAAAACACUGUCUCUGGUUGUACUGAGUUGGCUUCGACACCUCUGAGGGAAGACCACGAUUACACAGUCAGCUCUUUCAUCGUGGUCGACCGUGAGAAAUUCGAGAGCAUGUCGAGGCAGAUCGAGGAGCUCACACGGCAGAUCGAAACACUGCACAUGGAGAGAUUUGGAUUGCAACGGUUUUCUACAUCACCUAGUGACAUUCGCUACUAUUCCAGAUUUCCAUCAUAUGAACAUUUGAUGGCCUUUUGGGAUCUAAUUCAAGAGGCAACAAGCUGAAUGGUGAGAGUCACCAGUGGUCAGAAGAACCUCUCCACCAGUACAUCCACUGAGACCCCUAUGAACAGACCAACAAAACUGCUGCCAAUUGACGAGCUCUUCCUCUUCCUCAACUACCUGUCAACCGGCUGUACACAAAGGGAGCUUGGUCACAAGUUCAAUAUCCACAGAGCAACAGCAAGCAGAAUAAUUGUGACGUGGUCCAACUUUUUGUGUACUUUGCUUG